UCCAGCUACUCGGAAGGUGGCUGGGAGGUUGGGGCUGCAGUGAGCCAUGAUCAUGCCACUGCACUCUACCCUGGGUGACAGAGUGAGACUCUUAUAAAACAAACAAACAAGAAAAAACCUUUCCCCAAGGGCUCAGUGGUCUGGGAGAGAGGGCAAGAAGCUAAAACAAGAUCUCUGCAACCAGAUAUUCUGAUUCCUUUGGCCUUGGUAAUGGGGUAUAAAAGAACACCCAGUACUGCAUUAAUGUACUGUGGCUGUGUUUUCCAAAAACGGCCACAGCGAUACUUCUAGUCUCAUAUGCUCUUGCAGAACCUUGCCACCCACUACCAAGAAGUAGAGUCUGUUUCCUCUCCCGCUGAAGCUGAGCAGGGCUUGGUGGCCGCCUGUAAUGUGAUGGAAGUGACACGGCGUGACCUGCAAGGGCGAGGUCGCAGCCUACGAUAGCAGUUCUUCCUGGUCCACACUCUCAGGCUGCUCAUCCUAGGAACCCUGGUACCAUGUUAUGAGAGGCUUAGACCACUGGAGAGGCCGUGUGUAGCUGUCAUGGCCCAUCAGGCCCCCAGCCAGCAUCAACUGCAACAUGAGACCGUGAGCCUUCAGAUGACUGGCUCCUGCUUUCCAGUCUUCCCAGCCGAGGCCUCAGGCUUCGAGGAGCAGAGACAAGCCUUCACUGUGCCCUGCCUGAAUUCCUGACCUGCAGAAGUGGUGAGAAUAAGUGGUUGUUUAACGCCACUAAAUUUCUGAGUGAUCUGUUACGGAAAAAGCACUUAAACAGAAAAAGGUCCUAUCUGGCCUCUAUUGAAAGUAACAUAUGCAUUGUUCUGGGUUUCAUGUUUUGAUUCUUUGCACAGGGAAGUUGAAGUCUAUCCAGAGGACAGUGACAAGCCCAGGUGUGAGAGAGACACCAUCUGUGACCUGCACCUGGGGGUCUGGCUUCAAAAUGUGUCCUCAGCGGAUACUCUUGGGAUGGCUCAGCUAAAUGGCAGCUGUCACCUCUGAGAGGCUUGUUACUGAAUAUUAUAUGACGAAACCGCCCUGGUGGCCAAACUUUGAGAAUGGCUUGAUAAACACCCACCUCCAUUCUACAUCACUGGCGUUCUGUUCCUUCUGAAUCCUCUGCAGACUAGAGGCUCUAACGGAGCUAAGUGCUGGGCCUGGAGGUUCCAUGCUCUGCUUCAGGUCCAUGAAGAACGCCAGUGACAGAGGCGCUUGUGAGGGCUCUUGGUUUUGGUUUUUCAGUAGCCACAGAAACCAGGAAGGAGCAGAAGGAAGACACGGAACUGCCUCCACCCUCCUCUCAUCCCCUACCCCGAGCAGCUUGUAAGAAUCAUUUACUCAUGUUUCCUGUAAGACUCCAUUUGAACAGAGAGUUCUACCAGCAAAUACGUCUACAUAUUGAUUUUUCUUAAAAUGAAAUGCGGCCGCUCUUCAGUGCCACAGCAGAGCUACUAUCCUGCUGGCCUCAGAAGGAUGAGAGGCAGGUGGACAGCGCUGUCACUGCAGUUACCCCAGCUGAAGCCAGCAGCCAACCCCCAGCCACAGAAGGAAGCCUGAUCUAUAACGAGCAGAGCCAAUCCCCAGCUGACCUCAGUCAUGCACCACCUUAGGAACUGGACAGCCCGUGGUGACCUGGACAGAAAGGUGGCAGCCCCUCUGCACUUCAGGUCUUGGUGGAGAAGGCCCACCAUAACAGGUAAUGAGGUGAAUUGAACGAAGGGAUUCUGGCUGGCAAAGUGCUGUAAUGAAAUCGGAACUGGGAAACAGGAUAGGGUGAUGGUGGCAGGGUGGGGCAGGGGAAGGCCCUUCUGAGGCAGCACGGGGGCAGUCCAGCAGGGAAGCAGGCACACCCUAGACCUGGGUUUAUUUUCAUUUCCUCAGCUAUAAAGUAUGCAAAAUGAGAGUACAUAAAUGAUAGCGGUAUUGUGAGGAUUAGAUGAGGUGAGUCACAUCAGAGUCAUACAAUAAGACUUGGUUGUUAGCCAUUGUCCCAAGGAGCUGACAUCUGAGCUAAGGCUUUUUAAAAGAACAGGACAUCCAGUAAAGCUUAACUUGAACUAUUAACUAUUAACUUCAGAUAGGAAGUCUGCAAAAGGGAUUUCUGUGGAAACAAAGGCAUUCCAAUUCAGACGAGGAGUGCCCAACGUGAUUUCUCUUCUUUCUUUGUCUUCUGCCUCCAGUGUAGCUACAAAAUGUGGAGUAUCAGAGGGUCCCACCACACCGACUUUAAUCCAACGAAGGGACAGCUCUGUUCUGGACUCCGCACAAAUGUCGAGGUCACGAAGAACAAGAAAGAUUGAGAACUUGUUCCAGAUUGAAGGAAAUUAGAGAUGUGACACUGAAUACACCUUAUGAUCUGGGAUGGGAUCCUAGACCCCAGGACAUUAGUGGCAAGAUCUGAGUAAGCCUCGUAGGUAAGAUGAUAGCACUGCUGUCAUUAACUUCCUGAUUUAAGUAACUGCACUGCUGCUCUAUAAUAAAGGGUCUUUCUUAGAAAAUGCAUGCUGAAGAACUGAUGGCCAAAAGAGCAUGAUGUCUGCAACUCACUCUCAAAUGGUUUCUAGAAAAAAGUAAUAGCAUGUAUACAAAUGGAAAACGAUCAAACAAAUAGAAAAUGGUAACAAAUGGAGAACCUGAGGGAAGGGGAGAUGGGCAGUUCUUUGUACUGUUCUUGAAAAGUUUUUGUAAACCUGGGAUUAUUUAUAAACAAAAAGUUACAAAAAUAUAUAGUUAAGAGACUUAAAUCAUCCAAUACUUCUACAAACACUAAAAAGAUAGCACCCAAUUCACAAGUAGUAGAUUAAGCAAUGCUAACUUGACCACUUUAAUACAUAUGUUUUUGAGCUGCAGUAGGCUCGUCUUUAAAGAUUCUACUGGGAAGUAGUAAGAUUUAUUUGGCAUUCUGAUGGUUUGGGGAAUCUGGGGAUACUUCAUCAUCUGUGGAAGGCUAGAAGCAGUGCUUCUUUGGAACGUGCUUCCCAUCUGUCGCCCCACCCUGCCAUUUGAGAACCACUCUCUGAUGUUUUCUUCUGUCUUCAUUGUUCUGUUUUUCUCAGCAGAAAUUCAAGGACUGCUUCUCUCAUUGAAUAAGCUAUUAAGGACAAAGAUGUACUCAAAGCGGACUGAGACGUCACUGCCAGUCCGAGAGGCAGACAGUGUGGCCAUCACUUUUCUGAAAGUUAAUUCCUAGAAAUGAGCAAAGCACCCUAAAAGGAGAAAAAUGAAAUGUCUGCAGUCUACAAUGUUGAAGAUUUUUAGAAUCUGACUGCAAUGGAAAAUGUUUAAUGGGCUGUAUUUAUUUCUUUAUUUUUUCUUGAGAUAGAGUCUCACUCUGUCGCCCAGGUUGGAGUACAGUGAUGGGAUCUCGGCUCAGUGCAUCCUCCGCCUCCCGGGUUCAAACGAUUCUCUU
Molecule: long non-coding RNA, 3406 nt
Organism: Cebus imitator (Panamanian white-faced capuchin)
Lineage: Eukaryota; Metazoa; Chordata; Mammalia; Primates; Cebidae
Exons: 3
Source: RefSeq, a predicted model, not a curated record